Molecule: ribosomal RNA, 1608 nt
Filed under: Triticum aestivum (bread wheat)
Lineage: Eukaryota; Viridiplantae; Streptophyta; Magnoliopsida; Poales; Poaceae
Description: partial small subunit ribosomal RNA
Source: RNAcentral
AUGGCCAAGCCCUGGGGCGGCGUCGGCGCCUGGGCGCUCGACGCUGAGCGCGAGGACGAGGAGCGCGAGCACGCCGCCGCCUUCCCCGCGCCCGACCCGCCCGCCGCCGCGGGCGGCGCCGCCAGCUUCCCCAGCCUCAAGGAGGCCGUCGUCGCCGGCGGCGGCAAGCAGAAGAAGAAGAAGGGCACCACCCUCUCGCUCUCCGAGUUCACCACCUACGGCGCGGCCGGCGCGCCUCGCCGCGUCGCCCCCGCCGAGCCCAAGGGCCUCACCCCGCAGGAGAUGAUGAUGCUCCCCACCGGCCCGAGGGAGCGGUCGGAGGACGAGCUGGACCGAUCCCGCGGGUUCCGCUCCUAUGGCGGCGACAGGGAGCCGCGCGGUGGCGGAUUCGACGACGACCGCCGCUCCAGCAGGGAUUCGGAUCUCGAUAUGCACUCGCGUGCCGACGAGUCGGACAACUGGGGUAAGAAUAAGAGUUUCUCGCCGGCUCCUACCGACUCUGGCCUGCGUGAUAGGCUCAGUGGCCCGUCUCCGCUCGGCCGCUCUGAUGACAUCGACAACUGGUCGCGCGACAAGAAGCCACUCCCGUCGCGCUACCCCAGCCUUGGAACCGGUGGCGGUUUCCGUGAAUCAUCUGGCGGUGGUUUCCGUGAAUCAUCUGGUGGUGGUUUCCGCGAACCAUCUGGUGGUGGUUUCCGUGAAUCAUCUGGUGGCGGUUUCCGUGACUCACCGGGGCCAUCUGACUCUGAUCGCUGGGUCCGUGGUGCUGUCCCUGCCCCUAUGACCAACAAUGGUGAUAGGCCGCGCCUCAACCUCAAUCCACCAAAGCGUGAUCCCUCAGCCACCCCUGUGCCAGCUGCUGAGGUCGCACGCAGCAGACCAAGCCCCUUCGGGGCUGCUAAGCCCCGUGAGGAGGUGCUGGCUGAGAAGGGCCUUGAUUGGAGGAAGAUGGAGGGGGAGAUUGAGAAGAAAACCAGUCGGCCUACUAGCUCGCACUCCAGUAGGCCGAACAGCGCACAUUCCUCCCGCCCUGGAAGCCCUGGAUCACAGGUCUCCGCAGUUGGGAGUGAGGGAGCACCAAGAGCACGGCCAAAGGUAAAUCCAUUCGGUGAUGCCAAGCCACGGGAAGUGGUGCUGCAGGAGAAAGGAAAAGACUGGAGGAAAAUUGACCUUGAGCUGGAGCAUCGGGCAGUUAAUAGGCCGGAGUCAGAAGAAGAGAAGAAUUUGAAAGAAGAAAUCAACCUUCUCAAGGUGGACUUGAAGGAAAUUGAGGCCAUUGCAGGUGAUGGUUCUGAGCAAGCAAAAGAAGUGUCUGAGAAGAUAUCUCAGAUGGAAAAGCAGCUUGAUCUGCUUACAGUUGAGUUGGAUGACAAAAUUCGAUUUGGGCAAAGACCUAGUUCUGGAGCUGGAAGGGCUGCAGCAUUUCCAUCCGCUAGUGAGGAACCACAUGUUGCAGUGGCCCACAUGGACAGACCGCGUUCCCGUGGUGGUGUGGAAACAUAUCCGAAACCAGUUGAAGAAAGGUGGGGAUUUCAUGGUAGCAGGGAAAGAGGCUCUUUUGGUGGAGGCGGAAGUUCAGACAGGUCAUCAACAAGGCAGGGAUGGUGA